Molecule: ribosomal RNA, 468 nt
Filed under: uncultured bacterium
Lineage: Bacteria
Description: partial 16S ribosomal RNA
Rfam family: Bacterial small subunit ribosomal RNA
Source: RNAcentral
GACGAACGCUGGCGGCGUGCUUAACACAUGCAAGUCGAACGGAAAGGCCCUGCUUUUGUGGGGUGCUCGAGUGGCGAACGUGUGCGUAACACGUGAGUAACCUGCCCUUGACUUUGGGAUAACUUCCGGAAACUGGGGCUAAUACCGGAUAGGAGCUCCUGCUGCAUGGUGGGGGUUGGACAGUUUCGGCGGUUGGGGAUGGACUCGCGGCUUAUCAGCUUGUUGGUGGGGUAGUGGCUUACCAAGGCUUUGACGGGUAGCCGGCAUGAGAGGGUGACCGGCCACAUGGGGACUAAGAAAUGGACGAGAAUCGAAAGAGAGGCAGAAGUGGGGAAUAUUGCACAAUGAGCGGACGCCGGAUGCAUCGACCUCGCGUGCGGGAGGACGGCCUUCUGGGUGUAAACCGCUUUCGCCUGUGACGAAGCGUGAGUGACGUUACCAGGCAUAUAGGCACCGGCUAACUACGUG